Molecule: ribosomal RNA, 566 nt
Filed under: uncultured bacterium
Lineage: Bacteria
Description: partial 16S ribosomal RNA
Rfam family: Bacterial small subunit ribosomal RNA
Source: RNAcentral
UGGGGAAUAUUGCACAAUGGGCGCAAGCCUGAUGCAGCCAUGCCGCGUGUGUGAAGAAGGCCUUCGGGUUGUAAAGCACUUUCAGCGAGGAGGAAGGUGGUGAACUUAAUACGUUCAUCAAUUGACGUUACUCGCAGAAGAAGCACCGGCUAACUCCGUGCCAGCAGCCGCGGUAAUACGGAGGGUGCAAGCGUUAAUCGGAAUUACUGGGCGUAAAGCGCACGCAGGCGGUUUGUUAAGUCAGAUGUGAAAUCCCCGGGCUCAACCUGGGAACUGCAUUUGAAACUGGCAAGCUAGAGUCUCGUAGAGGGGGGUAGAAUUCCAGGUGUAGCGGUGAAAUGCGUAGAGAUCUGGAGGAAUACCGGUGGCGAAGGCGGCCCCCUGGACGAAGACUGACGCUCAGGUGCGAAAGCGUGGGGCAGCAAACAGGAUUAGAUACCCUGGUAGUCCACGCUGUAAACGAUGUCGAUUUGGAGGUUGUGCCCUUGAGGCGUGGCUUCCGGAGCUAACGCGUUAAAUCGACCGCCUGGGGAGUACGGCCGCAAGGUUAAAACUUAAAUGAAUUG